Molecule: non-coding RNA, 3608 nt
Organism: Chiloscyllium plagiosum (whitespotted bambooshark)
Lineage: Eukaryota; Metazoa; Chordata; Chondrichthyes; Orectolobiformes; Hemiscylliidae
Source: RefSeq, a predicted model, not a curated record
UGCAGUGGGCGGCGGAGGUAUAGCCUCUCCCUCUCAGUCUGGAGGCUAAUUUGAUUGCAACAAAUAAGAGAGAGAGAGAGCAAAGUCUCCAAGGAACCGAAAGAUCCUCUGCUUAAUGGGACGGGAGCAGUGACCACCCAUGCAGUGUGAGUGAAACCUUGUUGUUUGUUCUCUCUGUGUCUCCCUCCCAUUUAAUAAAAUUCUCGCUGCUGCAUUAACUGGAAACUCCAGGAUCUCCAUAAUAUUUGGUUGCAGACGAUUGAAUGUAUUUGGCAGGUUUUUCAUUUGAAUUCUACGUGCAGCCCCCGUGCCCAAUCUCCUGAGCAGUCCUGAAAAUGUUGCCUCAGGAUGAGAGAACAGAUCAACCACGGGCUGACAAGAAUCCUACUUCGACCAUGACACUGUGCAGUAAAUCAUGUGUGAUGCAGAUAUGCCAACAUCAGAAGGGAAUUCCAGGAUUUUGAUCUAGCAACAAUGAAGGAAGUGCAAUUAGAAGUGCCAAUCUAGCAUGUGCAUGCUUUGGAGAGGAAGAUAGUAAUGUCCCCAACUGUCUGCCCGCCCUACUCCUUCUAACAGAUUUGGAAAGUGCCGUUAUAGGAGAGUUGGAAAUUUCUAAGAGUGACUACACUUUCAAUGUGCUCCAUUGGCUGUAAAGCACUUUAGGGUGCCUUGGUCUGUUAUAUUACAACAAUAACUAUAUAUUUCAAAAAUACUUCAUUGCUGUAAAAUUCCUUCACUUCCAGAGGUUGUGAAAAUGCCAUCCAAAAUGCAAGUCUUUUUUUCUCUCCUUACUCUGAUAAUAAAACUCUUCAUCUUGAUUUUGUGCAACUACAGUCCUAUUUGCCUGUUGCGGUGCUGUUGAAUCAGGCCUCGCAAUAAACUGAGGUUUGUUAAGUUAAACAUCAUAGAUAUUAAGCUCUGGGCAUUAUUUCAAACCCCCAACCACAUCCAGAAUCUCCCCUCUAAUUGUUACUGAAGGUUUGUGCUGAGGUUAUUAGUCUAGUAGUGUAUUUUGAGAGUGACUUGACAAUCGGCCUCAGGACCCCAGGGUGAGGAACGAGACUGUUUGAUUUGAUUCUUGCCCCUCUUUGUCUUAAAGUAUAAAUAAGGGGGAACAGCCAUAAUGUGAUUCCUUCCACUGUCGAUAUAUAAUGAUCACUUGGGUAAGCUUUUAGAGAAUAAUCAACUAAGCAGUCAGCUGACAUCUUUGGGUGGGGUAGAAAGGAAAAUGAAACUUUUGUUUCUUGAGUUGUUUUUCUAAGUCUUUUGAAAAAGCCUUCAUUUUGAACAAAUAAUUGGAGCUGAUUCUGCAAUGCUUGGGAAACUGGUCUAGACCAAACUACAACAAAUGUGCCCAAACUAGCAGCUCACCACUGUCAGAUUACAACAAGUAUCAUUGAACUAUCUUCCCGCCCUGUCCCACCCCUGCAAUAAAAACUCUCCAAUUUCAAACACUAUGGCUUGUUGCCAUUAGAGCCAUUUCUGUUCUUUUUUUGAGAUUUAGUUUUAUCUGAAUCAAAAUGUAGUACCUUCCCCCUCCAUGUGAGAUACCCCUUUGGACGAACAGACUGGGAGGACAGGAAGGUGUACAGUUUCACCCAGUGAAAUUGGGGUAGUUCAGUGCGACAAAAAAUGUUGACAUAAGAAGCUCUCUGCACUCCUGGCAAAGUUUUCACUGAGUAUUCAAUGAGAGAAAUAUUGCCCAUCUUUGCAGAAGAGCAAAUUAAGGGAAGAUCUGACUUCCUGGGAACUGCAAUUGAGGAGUGAGGCACCUUUUUAGAUAUGCAAGGGCAGUUCUUAUAUACACUCUUUCUAUCCUAACCAUAGGUUGUUCUCUUCUGUGCCACCAUCUAUGUGUAGAAUUUGAGGAGAGAACACUAGAGUAGCUCUGGCUCAGAGUUUGAGUUCUGUGCCAAUACAUCCCUUGCACGUGUUUGAAAAUUAGAAAGACUUGCAUUUCUAUAGCUCCUUUCAGAAUAUCCCAAAUAGUUUACAUUGUGAAGGGGAGACACUAAUAGUUUAGGAUGUGCAGCCAAUUUUUUUCACAGUAAUCUGCUACAAGAGCAAAGUGACAACACUCAAGUCAUUUUGUUUUUGGUGGCGUUGAUUGAAGGAUAGAUAUUGGUGACCGGGAAUGGAGGCUAGUAGCCAUGUAAUUGGAUUGAUAAUCCAGAGGCCUGGACUAAAGCUCUGACUUCAAUUACCACUGUGUGGAAUUUAAAUACACUUGAUAAAUCAGGAAAUAAAGAGCAGUAACUACUACUAUGAAACAGAUGUAAUAACUUUUAUUCUUACAGAUGUAGGAGUCACUGGCUAAAUUGGUAUUUAUUUUCCAUCCUCAAUCACCCUUGGACAAUGGACUGAACUUCUGCUGCUGUGUCUUAUGAAACUUGUGGCUUGCUGGCUGUUUCAGAGCACAGUACAAGUCAAAAACACCACUAUAGAUCUUGAGUCCCAUGCCAUUCUGGCUCUAGCUAACAAUUUUCCUCCUUUAAAAACCCAAAUACGUUUUUACAACAAUUGAUAACUUCAUGAUCACCAUUACCAAGACUGGCUUUCGAUUCCUGAUUUUAUUAAUUGAAUUUAAAUUCUAUCUGCUGCCAUUAUGUGAUUUUUUUUUUUGCAGUGACAUCAUCAAUGUAGAACCAGCUGGUUCACUGCUAUCCCUUUUGGGACCGAAAUCUGCCAUCCUUUCUGGUAUCACCUUCAUGUGACUCCAAUCCUACACCAACGUGGUUGACUCGUAACUGCCCUCUGCAGUUUCCUCGAGUUGAGCGAAUUUCAAUGACCGCUAGGUCUUGCCAAUGAUCCCCACAGCCCAUCAAAGAAUUAAGAAAACAAAAGGAUUCUGGAGAAAAUUUUGCGCAUGGCUUAGAUUCUUUAGCCACUCCCUUAAGAACACCAGGCAAGGCCUUGGCUUAAGCAUCUCACUGAGUGACUGCACCUCUGCAGCACUCUCAGUUCAGUAUUGCAUCAGAAUACUGAAUACAGAAUACUGUCAGGGAUGCCUGCAGCCAGUGUACUGUUGUAUUGUACCUUGCCUUUAACAGAGUUUCACCUUUUAAGGACUGAUAGAAGACUUGUAUUUCUUAGGAAAUACCCAUGUUACAUGGAUGUUAACUGUCAAGGUAAGACUAGCAGAUUAACUAGCUCCUGUGAGAGGCUGUCAGUGAUAACCUGGUGGACAGAGGUAUGUUUGUGUCUUGGUUAAUCCUUUUAGGAUCAACGGUCAUAUACAACAGGCGUAGGCCUAGUUUAUUAUAUGCUGAAGUCUCGUAGAUGAGAUUUUCUGACUGUGUGUGCUCCCCUCUGAGCAAUGUUAUAGAACUAUGGAGGGAAAGCCUGACCAAAAUGUGGUGUACAGCAGUUGUCAGAACUGAAGAGAAAUGGCAGCAAAGUGGAUGCUGGAAAUGUGUUGUGUAACAACUAAUCUCAAAAUGUACUUGUGCAAUUCCUGCAAAUAUUCCCUAUGGAUACACAUAGUCUUUCUGCACGGGAAUCUCCAAAUUAGCUUAGCCAGGUAAAGAAAACGUUACAACAUAGGAAAUAGGAGCAGGAGUAGACUAUCUGACCCAUCAAAUCUGCUCUGCCUUUCAGUCAGAUCUUGG